UAUUCUAGACAAUACUUAAACAGGGUUUUUGUAAUGAUGUUGAUCAAAUGUCUGAGCUGAAAAUAACUUGUAGACAAUUUUUAAUACUGAAGAACCCUGUGGCAGGCUACUAAGCAUAGUUGGGUCACAUGCAGCAUAUUUGUAAGAGGUAUUUUCUUUUAAUUGUAGCUACUGUGGUUGCAUGCUUUCAUUGGGAUGGCUUGCUUGGGUAAGAAGCCAUUGGGGGCCUUGAAUUCAAGAUGUAUUCUAUCCAGUAGUCAUUUGCAGUAUUCUUGUACAACAUUUAACUUUUGAACAUGCAUGUGCUACCAUGGGUACUAAAUGGUGCCUUCAAUUUUCUUUCAGGUACAAAUGAUUUCGUAUAAAGGUACCACAUGUGGGUCCUCUUAACUGAAGGCACGGCAAGCUCCACACAAGGUCCUCAUUUCUGAAUUUCAAGGGCUCCUCUGACAAGUGGACAGUGCAGUGGGUGCACCUUUUCCAGAGGUAAGAAACUAAGACUGCUUUUAACCAUGGACGUACUACAGAAUACAUGAUGAUCUCACUUCAACUUGAACUCUCUCACUGAUUACUUGAUGAAAGUAAAAGAUCUGAUGUUCUGUAUUUUAAUUAACAAUUACCAUCUAUUUAAGUUAAAUAGAAAUGUGCCUAACUGCUACCUCUGUUGCAGGUGCCUGGAUGGAUGCUUGAAUAGAAGAUUUGCCAGAUAUUGUGCUGUCAAGAAUUUUACCAUUAAAAGUGUAUUA
Long non-coding RNA from Rattus rattus (black rat), 746 nucleotides. RefSeq lists it as uncharacterized. NCBI's taxonomy places the organism in Eukaryota, Metazoa, Chordata, Mammalia, Rodentia, Muridae. The record is from RefSeq and is a predicted model, not a curated record. The transcript has 4 exons.